GAUGAACGCUGGCGGCGUGCUUAAUACAUGCAAGUCGAGCGAAGCACUUUAACGGAAUUCUUCGGAAGGAAGGUAAAGUGACUGAGCGGCGACGGGUGAGUAACGCGUGGGUAACCUGCCUUAUACAGGGGGAUAACAGUUAGAAAUGGCUGCUAAUACCGCAUAAGCGCACAGGACCGCAUGGUCUGGUGUGAAAAACUCCGGUGGUAUAAGAUGGACCCGCGUCUGAUUAGCUGGUUGGUGGGGUAACGGCCCACCAAGGCGACGAUCAGUAGCCGGCCUGAGAGGGUGAACGGCCACAUUGGGACUGAGACACGGCCCAG
RNAcentral lists this ribosomal RNA (323 nucleotides) under uncultured bacterium. RNAcentral describes it as "bacterial SSU rRNA". It matches the Rfam family "Bacterial small subunit ribosomal RNA", at positions 28 to 334 of the family's 1533-position model. The record is from RNAcentral.